GGGAAAAAGCACAGUCUGUGCCAAAUGUGAACCGAUUUUUUUCUUGUCAUUAUUCCCUUAUAUAACAGCUCUUCACCUAGGAUUUUCAGUGUAUUAGGUACUAUAAUGACUUAAAAGUAUUAGAAGUCAUUUAGUAAGGCCUUUAACAUGUACAGGAGGAUGUGAGACUACUAAGCCAUUUUAUGUAAGAGAUUUGAACAUCCUGAGAUUUUAGUAUCUGCUGGAACCAAUCCUCGGGUGUAGGGAGGAUGACUGUGCACUCUGAAUGCAGCACCCAAUGACCCAUGCAGUCUCUCCUCAACUGUUCGCUCUCAUGAAUACUCUGAAGUCCAGAUUCUGCCAAGCAUCAGACAACGCUAAACUUACUAAGGGGUCCUGUCUUCAGGGAGCUUAGAAGAUAGCAAGUAAAAUAAACACUGAGCAACAAAAUGCAGGAUUAAAUAUUUAUUUAUGACAAUAUGAUCCUUGCAGGACACUGUGGGAAGGAGCACAGCUGGUUUCAAGGACUGAAAGGACCCCAAAUUGCUAUUACAAUAAAACCAAACUCCUAAGCAGGGCUGGAAGUCUGUCCACUCUCUGACCCCUGCUUUUCCCUCUGGCCAUACCAGCUCCUUUCUGUUCCUUAAACAUGCCCAAUUGUCCCCACCUCUAGGCCUUCUCUGGUCCCUUUGCAUAAAUUGCCCUUCCCCUAUUCCUUAGGCAGCUGGCUCCUGCUCACCUGUCAGAUCUGAACUUGGCUUCCCUCCUGGAAGAGGCUUUCCUUGGUCACCUUUUCUAAAGUGGCCUUCUCUGGACUCCCCAGGACCAUGUUUUCUCACACUGUGUUUGUUUCUCUGGAGAAUCGACCUUGAUCUGUGUUGGUCACGUGCUUCUUGAAGGCACAUGAGAUGAGGGUAGAAGUUGGCACCAAGAGAAUGACGUUUGUUGUGCCCCCUUCCUGCACUGUGGCCCUCGCCCACGAGCCCUGGCACCCAGCCCACUGCCAGGAGAGGUUUGUUGAUUAAUAGAAAGAAAGAGAAAAUGAGAGAAAGCAGAAAGAGAGAGAGGGAGAAGGAAGGAGGGAGCAGGGCAGAACCACUGGCUGCCGAGCACAGAGCAGGGCAGAGGUGACAGUGCGUGAGCAGGAUGCAGACCCAGUGUUCCCAGGGCCAGGAGCCACACUGACUCCGGGCAGGAGGCAGGGUUCAGGGCUGGCUGCUGAGCCGGGAGCACCUUGACCCAGCCUGGCUCCCCGGCAUUGCGCCCUUUAGCACAGAUUAAGUUACAGCCUUUAAAACGGGUUGACAGGUUGCGUGGCUGGGCCCUUCAGUCUGCCAAACCUUAAUCCAAAUAUUUUUCCCUGGGGUGAUAAAUAUUCAUCUGUGACCUUUUUAGUAUGCUUGCCUGCCCUUCAUGGCUGCCCUGCCACGGGCAUUUGCAGGAAGAGAUGCAACUGGUGGUGGCGCCCGCUGGUUGCAGGAGAGGGCGUGGCUGCCGGCGAGACAGGGAUUACACCACGGCCUGCGAGGUGGACAUGCUGGUGUGGAACUGCGCAUGCUCAUUUAACCAGGGCAGGGGAGGGGCAGGUGUUCCUGGGCCAGGUCAUCAUAGUUGGGACUCUGAGGCCUGAGUCAGUGCCAGGAGCCAGGUAGAAAGGCAAAGGGAGAGGGCUGACAUUUGCUAACUGUCCUCUUGGUGAGACAGAAUGCUUUAUAACCAUUAUUUCUUUAAACCCCAUAAAAUGCUGUAUGAUGGGUGUUAAUUUUCCCUGUUUCACAAAGAAGGAAUAUGUGAGGCAGAGAGAGAAAGUAAUUUGCCCAUGGUUAUAAAGCUGGUUAGAGAUGGAGUUGGCAUUUGAAUCCUGAGAUCUGUAUGUCUCUAAAACCGUGUUCUGUCACACCAUCAGUUUUCGAAAAGCUGAUGAAUAGAGUGUGCUGACCUCUACUGCGCCCCAGCCCCUUGAUACACCC
This 1949-nucleotide long non-coding RNA is filed under the name Marmota monax (woodchuck). Lineage: Eukaryota; Metazoa; Chordata; Mammalia; Rodentia; Sciuridae. The record is from RNAcentral.